This 253-nucleotide ribosomal RNA is filed under the name uncultured bacterium. RNAcentral's name for it is "partial 16S ribosomal RNA". It matches the Rfam family "Bacterial small subunit ribosomal RNA", at positions 524 to 776 of the family's 1533-position model. The record is from RNAcentral.
GACGUAGGGCGCAAGCGUUGUCCGGAUUUAUUGGGCGUAAAGAGCUCGUAGGCGGCUUGUUGCGUCGACUGUGAAAAACCACGUCUCAACCGUGGGACUGCAGUCGAUACGGGCAGGCUAGAGUUCGGUAGGGGAGACUGGAAUUCCUGGUGUAGGGGUGAAAUGCGCAGAUAUCAGGAGGAACACCGGUGGCGAAGGCGGGUCUCUGGGCCGAUAUCGACGCUGAGGAGCGAAAGCGUGGGGAGCGAACAGG